UACAGAGGGUGCGAGCGUUAAUCGGAAUUACUGGGCGUAAAGCGCACGUAGGUGGCGACGUAAGUCGGGUGUGAAAGCCCCGGGCUCAACCUGGGAAUUGCAUUCGAGACUGCAUUGCUGGAGUACGGAAGAGGAGGGCGGAAUUCCCGGUGUAGCGGUGAAAUGCGUAGAUAUCGGGAGGAACAUCAGUGGCGAAGGCGGGUCUCUGGACAGUUCCUGACGCUGAGGCACGAAGGUCAGGGGAGCAAACGGG
RNAcentral lists this ribosomal RNA (253 nucleotides) under uncultured bacterium. RNAcentral's name for it is "partial 16S ribosomal RNA". It matches the Rfam family "Bacterial small subunit ribosomal RNA", at positions 524 to 776 of the family's 1533-position model. The record is from RNAcentral.